GAUGAACGCUGGCGGCGUGCCUAAUACAUGCAAGUCGAGCGAACAGACGAGGAGCUUGCUCCUCUGACGUUAGCGGCGGACGGGUGAGUAACACGUGGAUAACCGACCUAUAAGACUGGGAUAACUUCGGGAAACCGGAGCUAAUACCGGAUAAUAUAUUGAACCGCAUGGUUCUAUAGUGAAAGACGGUUUUGCUGUCACUUAUAGAUGGAUCCGCGCCGCAUUAGCUAGUUGGUAAGGUAACGGCUUACCAAGGCAACGAUGCGUAGCCGACCUGAGAGGGUGAUCGGCCACACUGGAACUGAGACACGGUCCAGACUCCUACGGGAGGCAGCAGUAGGGAAUCUUCCGCAAUGGGCGAAAGCCUGACGGAGCAACGCCGCGUGAGUGAUGAAGGUCUUCGGAUCGUAAAACUCUGUUAUUAGGGAAGAACAAAUGUGUAAGUAACUAUGCACGUCUUGACGGUACCUAAUCAGAAAGCAACGGCUAACUACGUG
RNAcentral lists this ribosomal RNA (497 nucleotides) under uncultured bacterium. RNAcentral's name for it is "partial 16S ribosomal RNA". It matches the Rfam family "Bacterial small subunit ribosomal RNA", at positions 28 to 507 of the family's 1533-position model. The record is from RNAcentral.